This 178-nucleotide ribosomal RNA is filed under the name uncultured Shewanella sp. RNAcentral describes it as "partial 16S ribosomal RNA". It matches the Rfam family "Bacterial small subunit ribosomal RNA", at positions 355 to 525 of the family's 1533-position model. Lineage: Bacteria; Pseudomonadati; Pseudomonadota; Gammaproteobacteria; Alteromonadales; Shewanellaceae. The record is from RNAcentral.
UGGGGAAUAUUGCACAAUGGGCGAAAGCCUGAUGCAGCCAUGCCGCGUGUGUGAAGAAGGCCUUCGGGUUGUAAAGCACUUUCAGUAGGGAGGAAAGGUUAACAAUUAAUACUUGUUAGCUGUGACGUUACCUACAGAAGAAGGACCGGCUAACUCCGUGCCAGCAGCCGCGGUAAUA